Molecule: ribosomal RNA, 253 nt
Filed under: uncultured bacterium
Lineage: Bacteria
Description: partial 16S ribosomal RNA
Rfam family: Bacterial small subunit ribosomal RNA
Source: RNAcentral
UACGUAGGGUGCGAGCGUUAAUCGGAAUUACUGGGCGUAAAGUGUGCGCAGGCGGUUUCGCAAGUCAAGCGUGAAAGCCCCGGGCUUAACCUGGGAACUGCGCUUGAAACUACGGAACUCGAGUAUGGCAGAGGAAGGUGGAAUUCCACGUGUAGCGGUGAAAUGCGUAGAGAUGUGGAGGAACACCGAUGGCGAAGGCAGCCUUCUGGGCCAAUACUGACGCUCAUGCACGAAAGCGUGGGGAGCAAACAGG